AAGGAGGACCCUGACAUCCAUGA
Molecule: unclassified non-coding RNA, 23 nt
Filed under: Mus musculus (house mouse)
Lineage: Eukaryota; Metazoa; Chordata; Mammalia; Rodentia; Muridae
Description: oocyte_clustered_small_RNA8758
Source: RNAcentral